Molecule: ribosomal RNA, 496 nt
Filed under: uncultured Bifidobacterium sp.
Lineage: Bacteria; Bacillati; Actinomycetota; Actinomycetes; Bifidobacteriales; Bifidobacteriaceae
Description: bacterial SSU rRNA
Rfam family: Bacterial small subunit ribosomal RNA
Source: RNAcentral
UGCCGGAUGCUCCAAUGCGAUGCAUGUCGCGUUGGGAAAGAUUUCAUCGGUAUGGGAUGGGGUCGCGUCCUAUCAGGUAGUCGGCGGGGUAACGGCCCACCGAGCCUACGACGGGUAGCCGGCCUGAGAGGGCGACCGGCCACAUUGGGACUGAGAUACGGCCCAGACUCCUACGGGAGGCAGCAGUGGGGAAUAUUGCACAAUGGGCGCAAGCCUGAUGCAGCGACGCCGCGUGCGGGAUGGAGGCCUUCGGGUUGUAAACCGCUUUUGUCGGGGAGCAAGCCUUCGGGUGAGUGUACCCUUCGAAUAAGCACCGGCUAACUACGUGCCAGCAGCCGCGGUAAUACGUAGGGUGCAAGCGUUAUCCGGAAUUAUUGGGCGUAAAGAGCUCGUAGGCGGUUCGUCGCGUCCGGUGUGAAAGUCCAUCGCUUAACGGUGGAUCUGCGCCGGGUACGGGCGGGCUGGAGUGCGGUAGGGGAGACUGGAAUUCCCGGUG